GGAGAAAUGGCCGAGAGGCCGAAGGCGGCGGUUUGCUAAACCGUUAUACGGGUAAUACCGUAUCGAGGGUUCGAAUCCCUCUUUCUCCACCA
RNAcentral lists this transfer RNA (92 nucleotides) under Rickettsiaceae bacterium. RNAcentral's name for it is "tRNA-Ser". It matches the Rfam family "tRNA". Rfam says of the family: Transfer RNA (tRNA) molecules are approximately 80 nucleotides in length. Their secondary structure includes four short double-helical elements and three loops (D, anti-codon, and T loops). The record is from RNAcentral. Lineage: Bacteria; Pseudomonadati; Pseudomonadota; Alphaproteobacteria; Rickettsiales; Rickettsiaceae.